GCUGUCUGAAAUGGAGAAUAACAUCACUGAAAAGACAGUUCAUCCAGAACAGAGUAGCAGCCUGACCCGAUAGUUGUUCAGACUGUUUUAAGACAAGUGAAAGAAAGAAGCCACAAAAUUAUGUUCAAUGUGGUUCGGGGGCUCAAAUGCAGAUACGUUUUAUGCAGACAGUCUUCUCUCAGGUUCUCAGCUCCUGAUCUUUUAAAUAAAAAUAGAAGCCAUAAUUUUGCCUAUGAAAGAUAUUAGCUAUGCAACUAGACAACUGAUUGGCUCAGAAAUUUCUGCAGAAAAAAUGUCUAUAUACAUUAAUAAAUAGUAUCCGUGAUGUUCUUGUACUUUGUUAUUGGUAGGUAGAACUGUUCAUUCAUAUUUUUUGGUUUGCAUUCAAGAGAACUGCCCGAAGAGCUGAACAAUGACAGGCAGCAUCUAGACUGCCCUUUUAAAUCAGUUGCUUUGGAGACAUCCAUCACUUUUAUGACCUCGAAAAUAAAAAAGUGUAAUUGUGAGCCUAUUAGGGAAGGAAAAAUUAGAUACCGAGAAAAAAAUAACCCAGAAAGGAAAAGAUAAAUCGUAGUAUUAAAAAACUUAAUUAUGAACACAAGGUGAAAGUAAUUUUAAGAUAAUAAUUUAUUGGUUCUGUGUGGCAUGGCCCGGUGGCUGGAGAGCUAGCUUUGGAGUCAAGAGGUGCUCUGGACACACACUGGAUGUGGGACCUUGGGCAGAUCACAUCACCUCUGUGCUUCAGCGCCGGAUACACUGCAGAUUCCUUACACUGGCUUUGGAAGCUUCCAUAAUGUGGCUGUAUCCCAUCCUGCCAGUGGGGUUGUGGUGGAGCCAACAGCUCAAGAACCAGCGGUGAAAUUUUCAGAUUGAGCCUCAUACAUCUCUGAGUGGCAAAUUCUACAAAGCAGGAACUACCUAUAUCACUUCAAUCCCUGGUCCAUUCUUAGCCAUGUACAAAUCUAUGACAUUUGGAACCUAUCAUGCACAUCAAAACAAUGCCAACAGUAAUAGGUUUGAUAGCUAGAAUUUAUAUAAUACUUUAAUGUUUACAAAGCACUAUGCCUAUAUUACCUCAUGUGAUCCCUCACAACCACCAUAGGAUGUAGAUACUAUUAAUAUUCCCAUUUUCCAGGUAAGGAAAUGGAGGCUAAGAAAUUAAGUGAUUUUCCCAAGGUCAUGCAACUUGGAAAUGUCUGGGGAGGGAUUUGAACCAAGGUCUUCCUGACUCCAAAUCCACCACUCUGAUGUUCUCUAGAUGUCUCAUAAUAAUUUUUUAUAUAAUAUAUGUUGAUCCUAUGUACUGUUUGUACAGACCAUCCCUCACCCUUGGAAUGCACUCCUUUAACAUGUCCACUUAACUGAAAUCCUUUAUUUUAACAUUAAGCUCAGGUACCACCAGUUCAUUGAUUGGGAAGAGUGGAUAUUUGUAUUCUAUAAAAAAAAAUGAGAAAUCUGGCACAAGAGGCAAAUUCACAAAUUUGCUUUCCUCUAUUUUUAUGUUUUUGACUAAUUUGUCCCAUCGGCACUCAUACCUUGAGAAAUCCCAACCCUGAUUUACUUUUUCCAGAUACCCAUUAUUCUCCAUGAAACUUGUAAAUGUCAUCUCCCCCCUCACUCCCAGCUUAAAGUAAACUCUUCCUCCUUAAGUUUCUUAUAAUGUUCUUCCUAGCUACCUCUUUUGUCCCAUCAUAUUCCACUUUGGAGGCACAUUCACUAAUUUGCUUUCCUCUAUUUUCACAUCCUUGGAUCAUAUUUGUGCAUGCUUCAUAAUCCCAAUGAGAUUGGAAACUCUUUGAGAACCGGGACUGCCAUUUUGCAUCUUUGUGUCCUCAGCACCUAGCACAAUGCCUUCUGAAUAAACGGUGUUUAAUAAAUGUUUGCUAAAACCA
Molecule: long non-coding RNA, 1892 nt
Organism: Monodelphis domestica (gray short-tailed opossum)
Lineage: Eukaryota; Metazoa; Chordata; Mammalia; Didelphimorphia; Didelphidae
Source: Ensembl